Molecule: non-coding RNA, 27 nt
Filed under: Mus musculus (house mouse)
Lineage: Eukaryota; Metazoa; Chordata; Mammalia; Rodentia; Muridae
Source: RNAcentral
UAGGAAGAUGGCGUGGUAAGCCUGUGA